GAUUGGAUUAGAUAAAUGGAGGUCUUCAACAACAAAACCCUGUUGCUCUGGUUUAGCCUCUAAUAAAUCGAUGAUAUAUCAAGCAAAGUGGUGCCCAAAUAAAAACAAAAGGUUAUACCAAAAAUCACAAUUAUGCAAACAAAGGAACAAGGGGUUCUGCAACAUGAUGGGGAAGAAAAUAGGCCCUGCAGUUCAAUAAGUUGUACAGAAGAUAAAUGAAUGAUAUAAUACUUGGUACACCACCCCAUGUUUUCUUUUUCUGGAAGGAAGAGGGGGAAACUCCAGCCUCAAUUGUAGACCAUAUACUUGGGGGUUGCACUGAACUUUUGAUAUCCCUUGAUCACCUUGUUCACGGCAUCAAGGAAGUCCUUCUCUGUCACGGUCUUCCUUCGAGCUCGGAUGGCGUACAUUCCAGCUUCUGUGCAGACACUCCUAAUAUCGGCCCCUGUAGAAUUCGGACAAAGCCUAGCCAAGAGUUCAAACCGGAUGUCCCUCUCACAAUUCAUGGUUCUUGUAUGGAUUUUAAAGAUCUGUGUCCUACUCUCCAAAUCAGGAAGCCCAAACUCAACCUUACGAUCAAGCCUUCCAGGUCGCAGCAGAGCUGGAUCAAGUGUAUCAGGCCUGUUCGUUGCCAUCAGAACUUUGAUGUUUCCACGUGCAUCAAAACCAUCUAGUUGAUUCACAAUUUCAAGCAUAGUACGUUGGACCUCAUUGUCGCCGCCAACACCAUCAUCAAAACGAGCACCUCCUAUGGCAUCAACUUCAUCGAAAAACACAAUGCAAGCCUUUUUGGAGCGUGCCAUCUGAAAUAGUUCUCUGACCAUCCGAGCCCCCUCACCAACGUAUUUUUGAACAAGCUCACUCCCAAUGACACGAAUAAAGCAGGCAUCUGUUCUGUUAGCUACAGCUCGUGCUAGAAGUGUUUUGCCUGUUCCAGGAGGACCAUAGCACAGAACUCCUUUUGGAGGAUCAAUUCCAAGCUUUACAAACUUCUCAGGAUGAAGCAUAGGUAACUCAACAACCUCUCGCAUUUUCUCUAUCUGCUCCUUACAUCCACCA
This 1059-nucleotide unclassified non-coding RNA is filed under the name Hevea brasiliensis (rubber tree). Lineage: Eukaryota; Viridiplantae; Streptophyta; Magnoliopsida; Malpighiales; Euphorbiaceae. The record is from RNAcentral.